This 225-nucleotide ribosomal RNA is filed under the name Vibrio cholerae. Its description in RNAcentral is "partial 16S ribosomal RNA". It matches the Rfam family "Bacterial small subunit ribosomal RNA", at positions 1 to 220 of the family's 1533-position model. The record is from RNAcentral. Lineage: Bacteria; Pseudomonadati; Pseudomonadota; Gammaproteobacteria; Vibrionales; Vibrionaceae.
UUUAAUUGAAGAGUUUGAUCAUGGCUCAGAUUGAACGCUGGCGGCAGGCCUAACACAUGCAAGUCGAGCGGCAGCACAGAGGAACUUGUUCCUUGGGUGGCGAGCGGCGGACGGGUGAGUAAUGCCUGGGAAAUUGCCCGGUAGAGGGGGAUAACCAUUGGAAACGAUGGCUAAUACCGCAUAACCUCGCAAGAGCAAAGCAGGGGACCUUCGGGCCUUGCGCUA